GUUUCAAAAUUUCAGAAUCACCAAACUCUUGUUUGAAACGCUUGAACUGUAAAUCCCUAGCUGCUCUCAUCUUGUUCAAUCAAUCUCUGAAGGUGACGAUAUCUCGGAGAUUCACGAAGGUUCAGUUGUAAGCAUCAUCUUUAUUGGUCAGUAAGAACCCACAAUGUCAAAUUUGAUGAAGAUCUUCCUUGAGAAUAUACUUGCUCUGGCUCAUAUUGUAAGUUGGCUUUCUUAAUAAUAAAAUAGAUAAUCUACUUUUUGAAUUAUUCAAGCAUGUUGCACACAAAUUUCCCCUUUUCAUGUUUGUAUAUUUAGGCCUUGAGAUUCUUGUAUGAUAAGUAGCCCAUUCUCUCAGGCUUCCCUUCAAGGAUGUGUUAUAUCUAUAAGCUUAAGUGCACUUAGGAUAGUUUUUUUCUUCAUCAGUAUUGCUUCAAAUGACAUAUCCAAUCUAUAAGCUUGAGGAGUCAAAAUCCAUUGACUUUAAGAGCUCAAUAUAUAAACAAGAAGGAACCUGAGAUUAGGCACUGCUCUCGGAUUUAUUCGCAAGCAAGAUCAGACUCUAAUUGGAAGCUAAAAAUGAAUAUAGUAAUAAUUUUUAUUAAUAUUUGUUAUGUUCUAAGAUCAUUCUCUAGUGUUAUAUUUGAAUGUAGUAAUAAUUUUUAUUAAUAUUUGUUAUGUUCUAAGAUCUUGCUGUUUAGUUGGCUACAAAAUGAGCUUGUGCUCUAGCCUACUAUUGUAGAUUUGUAGUAAUUUUAGUUCAAAUUUAAGGAAGAAAAGAGGCAUUUUUAAGGGAUUGCAGUUUUCUCAA
Trifolium pratense (red clover) is the source of this 808-nucleotide long non-coding RNA. RefSeq lists it as uncharacterized. Lineage: Eukaryota; Viridiplantae; Streptophyta; Magnoliopsida; Fabales; Fabaceae. The record is from RefSeq and is a predicted model, not a curated record. The transcript has 2 exons.